RNAcentral lists this ribosomal RNA (512 nucleotides) under uncultured bacterium. Its description in RNAcentral is "partial 16S ribosomal RNA". It matches the Rfam family "Bacterial small subunit ribosomal RNA", at positions 28 to 507 of the family's 1533-position model. The record is from RNAcentral.
GAUGAACGCUGGCGGCGUGCCUAAUACAUGCAAGUCGAACGAAACUUCUUUAUCACCGAGUGCUUGCACUCACCGAUAAAGAGUUGAGUGGCGAACGGGUGAGUAACACGUGGGCAACCUGCCCAAAAGAGGGGGAUAACACUUGGAAACAGGUGCUAAUACCGCAUAACCAUAGUUACCGCAUGGUAACUAUGUAAAAGGUGGCUAUACUACCGCUUUUGGAUGGGCCCGCGGCGCAUUAGCUAGUUGGUAGGGUAAAGGCUUACCAAGGCAAUGAUGCGUAGCCGAAUUGAGAGGUUGAUCGGCCACAUUGGGACUGAGACACGGCCCAAACUCCUACGGGAGGCAGCAGUAGGGAAUCUUCCACAAUGGGCGAAAGCCUGAUGGAGCAAAGCCGCGUGGGUGAAGAAGGUCUUCGGAUCGUAAAACCCUGUUGUUAGAGAAGAAAGUGCGUGAGAGUAACUGUUCACGUUUCGACGGUAUCUAACCGGAAAGCCACGGCUAACUACGUG